UACGUAGGGAGCAAGCGUUGUCCGGAAUCAUUGGGCGUAAAGCGCGCGUAGGCGGCCCCGUAAGUCCGCUGUGAAAGUCAAAGGCUCAACCUUUGAAAGCCGGUGGAAACUGUGGGGCUAGAGUCCGGAAGAGGCGAGUGGAAAUUCCUGGUGUAGCGGUGGAAUGCGCAGAUAUCAGGAGGAACACCAAUAGCGAAGGCAGCUCGCUGGGACGGUACUGACGCUAAGGCGCGAAAGCGUGGGGAGCGAACGAGGAUUGAG
Molecule: ribosomal RNA, 261 nt
Filed under: uncultured bacterium
Lineage: Bacteria
Description: partial 16S ribosomal RNA
Rfam family: Bacterial small subunit ribosomal RNA
Source: RNAcentral